This 85-nucleotide transfer RNA is filed under the name Klugiella xanthotipulae. It matches the Rfam family "tRNA". From Rfam's summary of the family: Transfer RNA (tRNA) molecules are approximately 80 nucleotides in length. Their secondary structure includes four short double-helical elements and three loops (D, anti-codon, and T loops). Further hydrogen bonds mediate the characteristic L-shaped molecular structure. tRNAs have two regions of fundamental functional importance: the anti-codon, which is responsible for specific mRNA codon recognition, and the 3' end, to which the tRNAs corresponding amino acid is attached (by aminoacyl-tRNA synthetases). tRNAs cope with the degeneracy of the genetic code in two manners: having more than one tRNA (with a specific anti-codon) for a particular amino acid; and 'wobble' base-pairing, i.e. permitting non-standard base-pairing at the 3rd anti-codon position. The record is from Rfam by way of RNAcentral. Lineage: Bacteria; Bacillati; Actinomycetota; Actinomycetes; Micrococcales; Microbacteriaceae.
GGAGGGCUGUCCGAGUGGCCGAAGGAGCUAGUCUUGAAAACUAGUAGGCGGAAACGUCUCGUGGGUUCGAAUCCCACGCUCUCCG